RNAcentral lists this ribosomal RNA (253 nucleotides) under uncultured bacterium. Its description in RNAcentral is "partial 16S ribosomal RNA". It matches the Rfam family "Bacterial small subunit ribosomal RNA", at positions 524 to 776 of the family's 1533-position model. The record is from RNAcentral.
UACGUAGGGGGCGAGCGUUGUCCGGAUUUAUUGGGCGUAAAGAGCGUGUAGGCGGCCAGGUAGGUCUGCUGUGAAAACUCGAGGCUCAACCUCGAGACGUCGGCGGAAACCAUCUGGCUAGAGUCCGGAAGAGGAGAGUGGAAUUCCUGGUGUAGCGGUGAAAUGCGCAGAUAUCAGGAGGAACACCGGUGGCGAAGGCGGUUCUCUGGGCAUUACCUGACGCUGAGGAGCGAAAGCGUGGGGAGCGAACAGG